UAAUACAGAGGGUGCGAGCGUUAAUCGGAAUUACUGGGCGUAAAGGGUGCGUAGGUGGUUAUAUAAGUUAGGUGUGAAAGUCCCGGGCUUAACCUGGGGAUUGCGCCUGAUACUGUGUAGCUAGAGUGCUGUAGAGGAAAGUGGAAUUUCCGGUGUAGCGGUGAAAUGCGUAGAUAUCGGAAGGAACAUCGGUGGCGAAGGCGACUUUCUGGACAGACACUGACACUGAGGCACGAAAGCAUGGGGAGCAAACAGGAUUAGAUACCCUGGUAGUCCAUGCUGUAAACGAUGAAGACUGGCUGUUGGGCACCUACGGGUGCUUAGUAGCGAAGCUAACGCGUUAAGUCUUCCGCCUGGGGAGUACGGCCGCAAGGUUA
RNAcentral lists this ribosomal RNA (377 nucleotides) under uncultured bacterium. RNAcentral describes it as "bacterial SSU rRNA". It matches the Rfam family "Bacterial small subunit ribosomal RNA", at positions 521 to 896 of the family's 1533-position model. The record is from RNAcentral.